GGCAUCCUGACCUUAUGCGUGUCUAUCAGUGACCCUACACCAUACUGUGUGAUUUGGUAACCAUAUAUAUAUAUAUAUAUAUAUUGGAGGGGAAGUCUAGUACCAGCAGCCGCUGUAAAUCCAGCUCCAAAAGCAUAUAUUAAAGUUGCUGUAUUUAAAAAGCCCGUAGCUGAACCUGGGUUGUGCAGUCGCAUGCCGUUGCUUGUUCGCGGUUUUGAUAACUAUCAGAAUUUGUGUUCGGCUUGGUAUAGUGGAUGUGCAGCCUUUCAGCCGUGUCUGUGUAAACGGGUGCUGACGGAGAUUAGUGAAUUUGUCUUACCCGCUAUCUGUUGGCAUGCUCAUGGAUGCCUUUAAAAGGGUGUUGGAAGCAGAUGGCAUCUAUAUUUUGAACAAAUGUGAGGCCUUUUUGCCUAGAAAUUCUUGCAUGGAAUAAUGAAAUAGGACUUCGGUUCUAUUUAGUUGGUCCUCGGAUCCGAAGUAAUGGCUAAGAGGGAAAGACGGGGGCUUUUGUAUGGUGGUGUUAGACGUGAAGUCUUGGGAUCAUCGCUAGACAAAAUACAGAGAAAACAUUUGCCAGAAAUGUUUUCAUUGAUCAGAAGCGAAAGUCAGAGUUUCCAAGAUGAUCACAAAUGAUGCCAACUGACGAUUUGCGAUGGUUAUAUAACUGACAUUGCGGGCAGUCCCCUGGACACUAGACAUGUAUUAUCUGCGAAAUCUAGAUCUUCU
Molecule: non-coding RNA, 726 nt
Filed under: Trichobilharzia regenti
Lineage: Eukaryota; Metazoa; Platyhelminthes; Trematoda; Strigeidida; Schistosomatidae
Description: Eukaryotic small subunit ribosomal RNA
Rfam family: Eukaryotic small subunit ribosomal RNA
Source: Rfam by way of RNAcentral